This 338-nucleotide long non-coding RNA is filed under the name Homo sapiens (human). Its description in RNAcentral is "HSALNT0083053". Lineage: Eukaryota; Metazoa; Chordata; Mammalia; Primates; Hominidae. The record is from RNAcentral.
CUGUAGGCUGCGGUGCGCUGAGGCCCUUGGCCAAGUGGGCCCGGAGCCUGGGCCUCGGGAACCGAUGCUCACACUGAGCCACUGGAGAGACGUGGCGGUGAGGACUGUGGGCUCCAGAGGCGAGUCCACGCCUAACCCAGAUCCCGUGAUGCCAGCAUCCUCGGGAAAUGGGCCUGUGGCUGUGACUUAAUAUCUGAGGUGGGAGGGUCGUGCUGGGAUGUCCCAGGGGGCCCAAAUCCAGCCACGAGUGUGCUUGUAAGAGAAAGGAGAGACACAGAGGGGAGGUGGCCUCGUGAGGAUGGAGGCAGGGGUGGAGUCACACAGCCACAGCCCGGGGU